UACAGAGGUCUCAAGCGUUGUUCGGAUUCAUUGGGCGUAAAGGGUGCGUAGGCGGCGCGGUAAGUCGGGUGUGAAAAUCUCGGAGCUUAACUCCGAAACUGCAUUCGAUACUGCCGUGCUUGAGGACUGGAGAGGAGACUGGAAUUUACGGUGUAGCGGUGAAAUGCGUAGAUAUCGUAAGGAAGACCAGUGGCGAAGGCGGGUCUCUGGACAGUUCCUGACGCUGAGGCGCGAAGGCCAGGGGAGCAAACGGG
RNAcentral lists this ribosomal RNA (254 nucleotides) under uncultured bacterium. RNAcentral's name for it is "partial 16S ribosomal RNA". It matches the Rfam family "Bacterial small subunit ribosomal RNA", at positions 524 to 776 of the family's 1533-position model. The record is from RNAcentral.